Molecule: transfer RNA, 66 nt
Filed under: Hylomyscus arcimontensis (Arc Mountain wood mouse)
Lineage: Eukaryota; Metazoa; Chordata; Mammalia; Rodentia; Muridae
Description: tRNA-Phe
Rfam family: tRNA
About the family: Transfer RNA (tRNA) molecules are approximately 80 nucleotides in length. Their secondary structure includes four short double-helical elements and three loops (D, anti-codon, and T loops).
Source: RNAcentral
GUUAAUGUAGCUUAACUAUAAAGCAAAGCACUGAAAAUGCUUAGAUGGAUGCUCUGAUCCCAUAAA